RNAcentral lists this long non-coding RNA (2015 nucleotides) under Canis lupus familiaris (dog). RNAcentral describes it as "lncRNA (ENSCAFG00040002059.1)". Lineage: Eukaryota; Metazoa; Chordata; Mammalia; Carnivora; Canidae. The record is from RNAcentral.
GGCCAGCUUGUAGCCUACAGACAAAGGCUCAGACAGGUCAGGGGAUUUCUCCACCACCGCCCCAUUAGGACUGGACCCCAAGUAUAUUACUCCAGGCUCCCUAUAAGCUGCUGCCUCCCACAUCUCACUCAGAUCACACCCUCCCAGGUGGAGGCACACAGCAGGUGCACAGCGGAGAGUCCAACACCGAUCCAAAGGCUGCUGCAACCUCCGGGAUCACCCUCUGUGUGGGGUCCUGCCUCGCUCGCCUCUCUUCUCUCAAAUGGGGUCCUCCUGCAGGUCACAGGCUGCCCUCCAGUCACGGCUGCGGGCACUGGCCAACAACAACACAGGGGCCCCGGGGGGCCCCCCGGGGGAGCGGUGGGAGCAGCCGUGAUGCGUGAGACCUCCGGCCCUGAAUCCACCAACAGCUGUGACCACUUCAGCUAUUUUAAACCCUUGGGCACCGGGAGGCUCCCCUCACACCAACCAGCCACUGCAGCCCAACACCCAUCGCAGGCCCUGAGCCAGGGGCAGGAACCCCGAAAGUGGGUCCACCGGGUCCAGGUUGGGCUUUUUUACGGAGAGGGACUUUCAUCUCUUGAGUGCUUGCUUGUGCCAGGCACUGUGUUUUCCACACAUGGUCUCAUUUAACACCAUCCUCACAUCUAUGCUGAGAGGUCAACCGUUCACAGAUGACAAAAAUGAGGCACCAAGUGGCAGGGCGAAUUGUCCAGGGCCCCACAGAGGCAGUCCCCACCAAGGAACUAGAAUUUGUGUUUCUUCAUCUACCAAUUAAGAGACAACGUUCCCAGGGCACCUGCAAAGCAUCUGCCUUCAGCUCAGGUUGUGAUCCCAGGGUCCUGGGAUCGAGUCCCACAUCGGGCUCCCCGCAGGGAGCCUGCUUCUCCCUCUGCCUGUCUCUGCCUCUCUUGUGUGUCUCUCAUGAAUGAAUGAAUAAAAUCUUAAAAAAAAAAAAAAAAGACCACGUUCCUUCUCUGCUCUUACCUGCUCUGCCCCUGCCCCAGCCCCCCUGCCCCCAGGGCCAUGCGAGCUCCUACCCCGGCCCUGCCACUCUUGGGAGCUGGGAGUCUGAGGGCAAACUCCUUAACCUUUGGGCAGCUCACUUCUUCAUCUGCAAAGCGGCGGGGUUAUCGGGAGGGUACAAUGAUCUAAUUCUAAUACAUGAAAAGCGCCGCUGGAACAGUGCCUGGCACACAGAAAGAACGCAUUAAGGGCCCGCUGUUACUCCUUCUCUCCUGGCAAUCACCACCGCUUGCUUGACGUUAUCACUGUUGUGACCUGCCAGGGCCUCAGUAGGGGUUCUGAGUCCCUUCCCAACCCCCCCACUCUGGGCCCUCGUUGCCCCGUGGGUGAGAUGAGGGUGUCAUGCUCUGUGAUCCCCGGGAAGGUGGGAACCCUGGCAUCUGCCAAGUAUCUGCCAUGAAGUAGGGACUCAAAUGUAAUUCCAGUAGAGGGAUGCCCAGACAAGAGCCCACCUGGGGGGGACCCUCAGAGCCAGCUCCAGGGUGCACACGUUUUUGCCUCUUUGGCAGGUAACUAUGCUCGAGCUGCCUCCUGAUGGAUGGUGCACUCACUUGGCACUGCCAGGAGCCCUUCAAAAUUUACCAGCGUCUCCCUGGGUCUGUGAGCCUUUGUGGGCGGGUGCCCCGCCCCCAGCCCAACUCAGACCUUCCCCUUUGUCUACCCACAUUCCUCCCAGAUCCUGGCACCCACCAGCAGCUGGGCUCAUCACCACCUCCUAAUUUGGGCCUCCUCAAAAGGCCACUGGGGUCAGAGGCUGGGUGUGUCUCAGCCCCGGGGAACUUGUGAGCCUCCACCCUGCACCGCCCCCCAGGGCUCCUAUUCCCCCAGCAAGCUUACCCCCUUCUGAAACAUGCACCCCCCUCCAGCCUGCCCCCACCCCGUCCUUCUUGUAACCUGUCCCCUUACCCAUCCCAGUCCACCGUCCACCCCCCGGCUCCUGUCCCCUCUACAGAGGACCACUUACUCACACCUGGUUGAAUUAUCUAACU